Molecule: non-coding RNA, 26 nt
Filed under: Mus musculus (house mouse)
Lineage: Eukaryota; Metazoa; Chordata; Mammalia; Rodentia; Muridae
Source: RNAcentral
UACGGCUGGCUAAGUCUUUUGGACCU